AGGCCCAAAUAUUUUUCCUCAAAGCCAACAUUCUGGACUUCUAAGAUAGUGGCAACCGCGGCCGCAUUGUCAUCUCCACACCCAUUCCCAAGGAGCAGCGAGCACUUGAUUGGGCUGAGGAGUUGGCCUGUACCGAUUUCAUAAUCCGUCAGAAUAGAUUUGACCACAGUAGCUUGGCCUGUAUUUGCUUGAAAGAAAAGCAAGCUAUCAUCCGCGAAGAGCAGGUGAGAGAUGCCAGGUGCUCGCCUGCACAACUUCAGCUCCUCAAGAAGACCCAUCGUGACGUUUCUGUUAAUACAGGCUUCUUUUCUUUUCAUUUAGUCUUGUAAUAUGUUGAUAAAUAAGUACAGACACUUAAUAUAAACUUAGAUUUGGAGCCUCCUAAUUUUUGAGGGCCUGACUAGACCGGUCAGCUCCAUCCAUGUACUUCUUCCCAUUUAGUGUUUUUCUGUAGUUUAUUUUAAACAAUAAUCUGACAGUAUUGAAUCAUGAAAGAAAACAUAAUAGAUUGAUACAACCGAAACAAACACAAACAUCGAAGAUCCUCGAUUAAAUUAAAAGGUCCAUCACGAUACUUUGAAGCCAAUUUCUUUAGUUCCACCACCCGUGUCUUGACGUUCAUCCACGUGUUCGGUGAAUAUAUUGCAGAGUAUCAUACUUGCACGAGCUGAAAAAAGAAUAAAAACAUGAAAAAGACAAGCUUUGAGCAUGCGAGAACCAAAUUACUCCUCAGAUAUACUAAAAGCCUACACCAUGGUGAGGGCACCAAUCUUCUAAACAACAUCAUACCCAUUGACGCCACCGUCAAGAAACACAAACCUAACAGAAAAAACAAAACUAAAUGUCAGAUGUUGAUUUUUAAUUCCUCUUUAAACGUCAGACCGAUUAUUUGAACCGCAGGAGGAUUUUUCCAUGGUGCUCCGCAGCUUCUGUGAGUUCUGUCAAACGCGGUUUCGUUUGCAUUUGCGUGCAGUGUUCUAAGCCCAG
RNAcentral lists this long non-coding RNA (987 nucleotides) under Brachypodium distachyon (stiff brome). Its description in RNAcentral is "long non-coding RNA (BDIS_LNC005426)". Lineage: Eukaryota; Viridiplantae; Streptophyta; Magnoliopsida; Poales; Poaceae. The record is from RNAcentral.